CCCUACGGGAGGCAGCAGUCGGGAAUAUUGCGCAAUGGAGGAGACUCUGACGCAGUGACGCCGCGUAUAGGAAGAAGGUUUUCGGAUUGUAAACUAUUGUCGUUAGGGAAGAUAAAAGACUGUACCUAAGGAGGAAGCCCCGGCUAACUAUGUGCCAGCAGCCGCGGUCAUACAUAGGGGGCAAGCGUUAUCCGGAAUUAUUGGGUGUAAAGGGUGCGUAGACGGAGAAACAAGUUGGUUGUGAAAUCCCUCGGCUCAACUGACGAACUGCAACCAAAACUAUUUCCCUUGAGUGUCGGCGAGGA
RNAcentral lists this ribosomal RNA (305 nucleotides) under uncultured bacterium. Its description in RNAcentral is "bacterial SSU rRNA". It matches the Rfam family "Bacterial small subunit ribosomal RNA", at positions 337 to 658 of the family's 1533-position model. The record is from RNAcentral.